RNAcentral lists this ribosomal RNA (449 nucleotides) under uncultured bacterium. Its description in RNAcentral is "bacterial SSU rRNA". It matches the Rfam family "Bacterial small subunit ribosomal RNA", at positions 8 to 461 of the family's 1533-position model. The record is from RNAcentral.
AGAGUUUGAUCCUGGCUCAGAUUGAACGCUGGCGGCAUGCCUUACACAUGCAAGUCGAACGGUAACAGGUCUUCGGAUGCUGACGAGUGGCGAACGGGUGAGUAAUACAUCGGAACGUGCCCGAUCGUGGGGGAUAACGAGGCGAAAGCUUUGCUAAUACCGCAUACGAUCUACGGAUGAAAGCGGGGGAUCUUCGGACCUCGCGCGGACGGAGCGGCCGAUGGCAGAUUAGGUAGUUGGUGGGAUAAAAGCUUACCAAGCCGACGAUCUGUAGCUGGUCUGAGAGGAUGAUCAGCCACACUGGGACUGAGACACGGCCCAGACUCCUACGGGAGGCAGCAGUGGGGAAUUUUGGACAAUGGGCGAAAGCCUGAUCCAGCCAUGCCGCGUGCAGGAUGAAGGCCUUCGGGUUGUAAACUGCUUUUGUACGGAACGAAAAGCCUCUUUCU